Molecule: ribosomal RNA, 243 nt
Filed under: uncultured bacterium
Lineage: Bacteria
Description: partial 16S ribosomal RNA
Rfam family: Bacterial small subunit ribosomal RNA
Source: RNAcentral
GUGGCAAGCGUUAUCCGGAUUUAUUGGGCGUAAAGGAUGCGUAGGCGGCUAAACAAGGUAUAUGUUAAAUAUAUAGGCUUAACCUGUAGAAAGCAUAUAAAACUGUUUAACUAGAGUGCAGGAGAGGUAAGUGGAAUUCCUAGUGUAGCGGUGAAAUGCGUAGAGAUUAGGAAGAACACCAGUGGCGAAGGCGACUUACUGGACUGUAACUGACGCUGAGGCAUGAGAGCAUGGGGAGCAAAC